GUCUGGGUGGCGCAACUGGUUAGCGCGUCUGACUGUUAAUCAGGAGGUUGUGAGUUCGAGCCUCACCCUGGACG
Molecule: non-coding RNA, 74 nt
Organism: Aspergillus flavus NRRL3357
Lineage: Eukaryota; Fungi; Ascomycota; Eurotiomycetes; Eurotiales; Aspergillaceae
Source: Rfam